UGAGAGAGAGAGAGAGAGAGAGAGAGAGUAGUUUNNNNNNNNNNNNNNNNNNNNUAGGGUAGGUAGGAGAGAGAGAGAGAGAGAGAGAGAGAGAGUUUUUGGCACUGGGUUUCGUACGAGAUGCAUUUGCGUCCAUUCGGUGUUCAAGGAAAUUUCUAAGAGAACGGAUGACCUUCUGGGCUGUUGUACAAUAGCCAUAAGUGCAGGACGGCUGUAAAAUGUUUGUGGCUGUUAAGAGGCAUCCCAACUGCCUGUUUCGUGUCAUGUGUUGGGGUGUUGUACGAACUGAGCAGCUUGAGCUUUGCUCGGGCUUGGCAUGAGAAGAGCUCUAAUCCAGCUCACUUUGAAGCUAAACGAAUCAAGCUUGAAUCAGGAAUAUAGGCUCAAAGUUAAUUUCAAGCUGAGCUAAAAAUUGACCUGACGCAAUCAGGUUGGCUUCAUGAGGCUUGAAUAUACUCAAGUUAUAUAAAUAUAUUUUAUACAUAAUGAAUUAUUGGAUUUAGGUUUUAAUUGUUGCAUCUUUUUAUUCUCUGGAUCAAUUAAACAUUGAUAUAGGUCUGAACCAAACCUUAAACUAAGCUUCAAAAAUUGAGUUUUCAUUUAUGCUUGAACCAAAUUUCAUUUAAACGCUAGUUGAUUUGAGCUUGAUUAAGGAUUACCAAGCUGACGAGUAGCCUUGUGCACUGCUCAGCUCGAAUUGAGCUCACAAUAAUGGUAAAUAAAUCAAGCUUGAUGUGGGAGUGCUAGCUUGAAUUAAUUUCAAACCAAGCUUGAUCAGUCCCAAGAUCAAGCUUGG
This 796-nucleotide long non-coding RNA is filed under the name Phoenix dactylifera (date palm). RNAcentral describes it as "long non-coding RNA (PDAC_LNC005634)". The record is from RNAcentral. Lineage: Eukaryota; Viridiplantae; Streptophyta; Magnoliopsida; Arecales; Arecaceae.